UACAGAGGGGGCAAGCGUUGUUCGGAAUUACUGGGCGUAAAGGGCGCGUAGGCGGCCUGCUAAGUCGAACGUGAAAUCCCUGGGCUCAACCCAGGAACUGCGUCCGAUACUGGUUGGCUUGAAUCCGGGAGAGGGACGUGGAAUUCCUGGUGUAGCGGUGAAAUGCGCAGAUAUCAGGAGGAACACCGGUGGCGAAGGCGGGUCUCUGGGCCGAUACUGACGCUGAGGAGCGAAAGCGUGGGGAGCGAACAGG
Molecule: ribosomal RNA, 253 nt
Filed under: uncultured bacterium
Lineage: Bacteria
Description: partial 16S ribosomal RNA
Rfam family: Bacterial small subunit ribosomal RNA
Source: RNAcentral